AUCCAACAUAAGACUUAAUUUGAUUAUUGAUAUGAGUAAAAUGACCAUAAAUUGAAAUUUAGUUGUAUUUAACAAGUAUUUUCAUAUGUAUACAUAGAUAGGAAGAAAAUUAGGUAAGAUUUAUGAUGCAGUUCAAAUGGCAAUAAGCUUUAAAAUGCAUCUUUGAGGUGUAGUGUUCAAGACUUCAAACCCCAUUGCCACUAAGGCUUGUUUGGUUUAACUGUUGAAAGAAGCUGAUAGCUGAUAGUUAUUCCUAUUAGCAGAAGGUGGCUAAUUUAUGUUGAAUAUUUCGUAAAACUUUG
Molecule: unclassified non-coding RNA, 302 nt
Filed under: Hevea brasiliensis (rubber tree)
Lineage: Eukaryota; Viridiplantae; Streptophyta; Magnoliopsida; Malpighiales; Euphorbiaceae
Source: RNAcentral